UUGAAAAUAAUAAUGUGCAUUAACAUAGUAAUACACUUCUUAUGAGAAUUGACACAACCAGUUCAUUAUUAUUAGAAGAAAAAAAAAGUUUAACAUAUUGGAAUACAGCAGAGAAAUGAUCACCUUGUGAUGGAGGUGAUUAAAAAUAAAAAUUAACUUGAUCCCAUGCUUAAUUAAUAACUGGGUGCCCUGCCCUGCUUGGCCUAGUUAUUGUAAUCAAAGGAAUAUUUUUUUCUUUAGCUGGUUCGGGAAAAUCGACUAUACCGUACGGUCCAAAAGUGUACGUUGUACUACACAAUGUUUGUGCAAAGUUUCUUUCUUCAAAUGUCCUGCACGUAAUAUCUUUUAUUGCAAACGCAUUAUUACUUAAUCUUAGGUGCUAAUACCGGACCAUAUUGCCUAGGGCACAUUGAAUAAGGAAACUACUCCCACCAUCGCAACAGGUAUAGAUGAGGAGAUGCCAAUGGGCACUAGGGCAACUUUGUAAAAAAUAUGUUGGACAUUAACUAUUAUAAUACACUUUCUUAUUUGAGAAUUGACACAACCAGUUUAAUCUAAAUUAUUGAGAAGAAGAAAAAAUUGUUUAACAUUUGGAAUAAGGCAGAGAAAUUGAUCAACCUGUGGAAUUGGAUGGUGAUUAAAAAUAGUGUCGAAAAAUUUACAACUUUGACUCCCAUGCUUAAUUAAUAAGCCCUUUGCUUUUCCUUUUCCUUUUCCUUGUUGGAUGAUGACACUCUGCCAUCUGUCCCUGCAAGUAUGCUAUAUUUGUCCUUCCUAGUUAAAUUUGUGCACUCAAUUCCCAAAGUCCCAGCCAACACCCUCUGAAUAUAAUUUGCAACUUCAUAAGCAGAUUUCCCACCUUUGCAAAAGAUAAGCUUCUUCGUACGGUAGCGUUCAGGAACGUAAUUUCGUAAGUUGGCACGGAUUCAUGAAUACGAAAUACGGGUCCAACAAUUUGUGCCCCCUAACCGUUGUACCAUGAAACACACUUUGUUUUGUGUUGAUUGCAACAGGCACAAUCCUAUCAGUGAGCUCAGCAAAUAGGGCAGUACCCACAGAAACGGCUCUCCUGUGUAGUUAUUAGCACAAAAGUUAAAUUUCGAAGCAAAUAAAUGAAAUACCUCUCCUAUACUAAUAAAAGACCACCGGCCUAUGCGGAGAAAUUUUUCUGUCUUGACGUCCAAAUUACGGAGUUGGUGUGAGAUUGUUGGUGGGGAUACAACCCAACAGGUUUAGAAUUGUACAUUUUGUUGCAAAUGAAUAGAAAUCCUUGCUCUUUCUUUGCUCGCUUAUGCCUUACUUACUACAUAAUUAAUCCCUAGAGACUUAAUUUUGUAUCUCGCACCUGUUAGGUGUUCUCUGGCGAGGAGUACAUAUUUUUAAAAAGUGAAGGGCAACAUUGGGUAGGUCCCACAAUCUGCCCUCAUGAGAAUAUAAAUAGAAUUUUCUUGUCUUGGCCAGUGAAAAAAAUGAAAAUUGGCUUCCUGAAUUUAACGUUAACACAGAAAAAAAUGGGAGUUUUCAUCUUUUAGUUUUUGAUUCAACUGUAAAUUCAAAACUGGUUAGGAGUUGGUCAAAUUGUGGCUUUACAGAGUGUGGUUCUUAUAAGGAGGGUCAUCUGAAAGUAACCUAACUCCAAUAUACUAAAUAAAUUUUCAACCCAUGAACCGGAAGUCAACUUGCCUUAAUAGUAUUCGGACGACAAACAUUUUUAGUAUCGGCAAUUCCAUUACAUUCGUAAAAUACAGAACAACAUUGUUUUCCGAUUGUCAACAACUCAUUUCACUUGAAUAUUGUAUUUCAUCAACGAGUAUUAAUUAAUCUUUACUAAAAAAAGGGUAUUCUUAAUUUGUUAACUUUUCCCUUUGUUCUUGUUUUUUCGGAGCAGUUUGUAGUUUGAGAGUGCUAUUGUAUGGGCCAUCACCUAGUAGUAACGUUUAAUGAUUAAUAUUGUGAUACAGAGAUACAUGAAGCGGGACUGAGAUGGAAUUCUCUUAUUGCGUAGAUUUUGUUGCAUGUGUGUAUAUCAACAUUAAACAAACUAUCUGAAUCCUCUUUCCACCAGUCUUCAUAACUCAUUAAAUUGCCACAAAAAAAAUCUGUCAAUUUCUGUUCUCUCAAGACAUAAACUUGAGAGCAAUCAUACCCACAUAUAAUUGAUUCCAUAAACGGUUGACGGAUUUAUGUUGUUGAGAUUAGCUGGGAAGCCUUUGGCCAAAAAAAUAAAAAAAAUAAAGACACUCAACAUUUAAAUAUUAAAAGCUGCUGGCAUGCUGGCAAAACUAAAUUGUUUAGAUACAUGAAAACGUGUAACCAUUUUUAUUUUUUUAAAAGGAAAUAGUUGCAUGCAUGCUUCUUUUUUAAACAUGAAGCGGGACUGAUGGAAUUCUCUUAUUGCGUAAGUUUCCAUGUGGUAUAUCAACAUUAAACAAACUAUCAUCCUCUUUCACUCAGUCUGUCAAUAACUCAUUAAAUUGCCAAAAAGAAAAAAAAUCUGUCAUUUCUCUCUCUCAAGAAACAGAUAACUUGAGAGCAAUCAUACCCAUAUAAUUGAUUCCAUAAACGGUUGCGGAUUUUGUUGUUGAGAUUAGCUGGGAAGCCUUUGGCCACAAAAAUAAAAAAAAUAAAACACUUCAACAUUUAAUAUUAAACGGCUGCUGGCUGCUGGCAAACUAAAUUGUUUAGAUACAUGAAAACGUGUAACCACUUUUAUUUUUUUUAAAAGGAAAAUAGUUGCAUGCAUGCAUUCAUUUUUUUUAAAGUUUGUAGACGAAGAUUAUGUGAAAAUUUCUACAGCUAAUACGAAUCUUGAUUGAAACAAAUCUUUGAAAUUUUAAUUAAUCGUAUAUUUACCGUGUGUGUAUCUUUUUUUAUAAAUAUUAAGCUAUAAGCCUAUAACUAAAUAAUAAUAUCCUUUAUAGUGUAUACAGGAUACGCAAAGCAUCUAAGUCAAAUCCUUUCAAAUCAAGUAAAAAUUUUGAGAGAGCAUGGGUCGUGCUUUUGGUUACCUUAGGUCACCAACAUCCCUGACUACAUGAAAGUAUAAGAAUCAAAACUUACUUAGACAGGAAGAGAAUAAUUAACGCUAACUAGUAGUAUCCUUAUAAGUUAAACCAAAAAAAUGAUGGAGUUUGAACUCGAAAUGUUGUAGUUUGAAAGAAGAAAUGCUCUAUGUAACACUUGCAACUACAGGCGAGACAACUAAAAACAAAAGAAAAAAGAUCAUGCAUAACUAUAGUUAAUUUCAAGAUGGGUAAUGCUAAAGAGACUAAAUUUGUAAAUUAAAUGUUUUAAACCAAAUGAAAUGGAAAUCGAUGAUUGGAUUAUUAUUUAAGCGUUGAUUACCGUACCUACUUUUUAUUGGUAACACAUUAUUUAGUUUCCAAAUUCAGUCUACCAAGCAUAAUUCUUUCACAAUUGUCGACAAUCCACUGCCACAUUUAAUUAGGGUUAAGCAGACCAUCUUCUUCCUAAAAUAUUAAUUAAGGGACUUAAAUCUUCGAAAUAUUAUCCUAUAUUGUAAUGUAUUGUAAUUUAGGAUAAUGGAUAAUUGAUAUUGGGGUCACUGAUCAUGUGACUAGUGACUCUAGAGUGUUUGAUGAGUUAUGUGAUUAUGUUCGUGAUCCGUAUAUUACUAGUGCAAAUGGAGCACCUUCCCCUGUAAAGGGUGAAGGCACUAUCUCUCUUACUCCGACCUUAUCACUGGUCCAUGCGUUACUUGUUCCUGAUGUUAAAUGCAAUCUUUCGUAAGUAGGAAAACUACUUGAUACCUUAUAUUGUUCUGCUCACUUUUACCCUACGUAUUGUUAUUUUCAAUACAUUUAAACUCAGAAAAUAAUUGGUCGUGAUAAAAGAAUAGGGGGUUUGUACAUCUUAACUAUGGAGGAUAUUGUUGUUUCCAGUUCAAAUAAUCAUCAAGUUUUAAGUGCUAAAGUGGACGACAAACAUCAAAUUCGGUUGUGGCAUCGACGAUUGAGACAUCCAUCAUUCAGUUAUAUGAAGCAUCUAUUUCCUUCUUUGUUUCGCACUUGUAGUGAUUCAGAGUUCAAGUAUGAAACAUGUGUCAUGGCUAAGAGCCAUCGUGCUUCCUUUGACAUAAGUGAUUCUAAAGCUACUUUGCCAUUUGAUUUAAUACAUUCUGAUGUGUGGGGUCCAGCUAAGGUUACUUGUAAUGGAUUCCGUUAGUUUGUUACUUUUAUUGAUCAUUGUACUCGAUUAACUUGGGUGUUCUUGAUGAAGAAUAAGAGUGAUGUUCCUUUACUUCUUCAAGAAUUUUGUGCAAUGGUGUCUACUCAAUUUCAGACCAAAGUUAAGGUCUUCAGGUCUGAUAACGGAGGAUAAUAUGUAAAUCACACUUUGGCAUGAUUUUUUCAUUAAUGGGGUAUUAUUCAUCAGACGAUUACUCCGUUUACACCCCAACAAAAUGGUGUGUUCGAACAAAAGAAUCGUCAAAUAAUGGAGGUUGCUCAUUCCUUGAUGUUGGAUAAAUGUGUUCCUAAUCGUUUGUGGGGUUAUGUUGUUUUGGCUGUUGUGUAUUUGAUAAAUCGUGUUCUAAGUAGGGUUCUUGUUUUGGCUGUUAUGCAUCAAGUUUCUCUUGUUUCUGUAUCAAAACUUCCUCCGAAGAUGUUUGGGUGUAUUGCGUAUGUGCAUGUCUACUCUUAUCAACGGAGUAAACUUGAUGCAUGUGCUCUUCGAUGUGUAUUUAUUGGGUAUGCUAACAAUCAGAAUGGCUAUAAGUGUUAUCAUCCUCCGACUCAAAAAACUUAUAUUACCAUGGAUGUCACCUUCCACGAGGAAGUUUCAUAUUUUGUGAAGCCCUCUUCUGACUCUUCACUUCAGGAUGAGAGGGGGAGUGAAGUGCAGAUUCGAAGAGAUGGUAUGGAUGAUGUGUUAUAGGCAGAGUUAGGGACCUAACCUAUUAUGUUGCAUGAUACUGAUCAGUCGGCUAUAGAUAGUGAUUGGUCACCUGUCAUUCUCGAAACUAUUUCUACUGACGACAGAUCAGAUGUGCCCAACGAGUUGCAUGUUAGUCUGUCUAACGAAUUACCUUCUGAUGACCAUGUCUAACGAGUUGCCUAAUGAUGGUUCAUCCAGUGAUGAUUCUUCUCACAGUUUGGUACAAGAUGGUGACAUACAUAAGGUAAAUUCUGACAAUUCUUCUACUUAUCAGUUGCCUCCACGAGCUAAUCGUGGAAAACCUAAAGUACUAUAAGCCUGAUAUGCAUGCAAAAGCCAAAUAUCCUAUCAAUAAUUAUGUGUCUACUCAUUGUUUGUCCAAACCAUAUGCAUCUUACAUAUGUCAGCUAUCUAGUGUAUCAAUUCCAACAAAAUUGCACGAUACUUUGUCUGACCCUAAGUGGGUUAAUGCCAUGAGAGUUGAGAUGGAAGUCUUGGAAAAGAAUUCUACUUGGGAUUUGGUUCCUUACUAAACGGGAAGAAAGCUAUUAGGUGUAGAUGGGUGUUCAUUAUUAAGCAUAAAACAGAUGGCUCUAUUGAUCGGUAUAAAGCCAGAUUAAUUGCUAAUGGUUAUACUCAAACCUAUGGGGUAGACUAUCAGGAGACUUUUAAUACUGUACGUGUUCUUCUGUCCUUAGCAGCAAACCAGGAUUGGCAUCUGCUACAUUUUGAUGUUAAGAAUGCUUUCCUUUAUGGUGAUCAUAAGGAGGAAGUUUAUAUGGAUCUCCCACCUGGUAUCAGAACAUUUCCUGGAAAAUGUGUUGUAUGCAGGUUGCAAAAGGCUUUGUAUGGUUUGAAACAAUCUCCUAGAGCAUGGUUUGGGAGGUUUACAAGUUCAAUGAAGAAGUUUGGGUAUGUCCAGAGUCAUUCAUAUCAUACUUUGCUUCUAAAGCAACAAAAUGGUAAGCUAAUUGCAUUGAUUAUUUAUGUUGAUGACAUUAUAGUGAUUGGUGAUGAUCAGAAAGAGAUACAAGGCCUUCAAAAGUACCUAGCUACUGAAUUUGAGAUGAAAAAAUUGAGUGAAUUGAAGUAUUUUCUUGGAAUCGAGGUUGCACGAUCCAAGCAUGGUAUUUUUCUGUCUCAACAGAAGUAUGUUCUUGAUUUGUUAGCUAAAAUAUGUAUGUUAGAUUGCAAACCUAUUGAUACUCCGAUUGAGCAGAAUCAUCGUCUGGGCUUAUUUUUGGAUCAAGUUCCUACUCAUAAGGAACGGUAUCAGAGGCUUAUGGGGAGAUUAAUUUAUUUGUCUCACACUCGCCCUGAUAUUGCUUAUGCAGUUAGUGUGGUAAGUCAGUUUAUGCACUCACUUAGUAAAGCUCAUAUGGAUGCAGUAAUCCGUAUUUUGAGGUACUUGAAGAUGGAUUCUGGCAGAUGAUUGGUUUUCUCCAAGAAUGGUCAUUUGAAUGUCGAAGGGUAUACAGAUGCAGAUUGGGCAGGUUCUAUCACUGAUCAGCGAUCUACAUCUAGAUACUUUACGGUUGUGGAUGGUGAUAUAGUUACUUGGAGAAGCAAGAAACAAAAAGUGGUGGCUAGGUCAAGUGCUGAAGUUGAGUUUCGUGGUAUGUCUCACGGUGUAUGUGAAUUGUUGUGGUUGAAAAAAUUGUUGAGAGAUCUUGGAUUUAAACCCAAGGGUGCUAUAAAACUCCAUUGUGAUAACAAGGCUGCUAUUGAAAUUGGAUGCUGGAAUUAUUAUGUUUCCGUUUGUGGGAUUUGAAGAUCAACUCGCUGAUGUACUUACUAAGGUUGUGUCUAAUAGUGUGUUUUCCAAGUCGCUUGACAAGUUGGGCAUGCGUGACAUCUUUGCUCGAACUUGAAGGGGAGUGUUGCGAGUUAUAUAUUAGUUAAAGUGUAAAUAGUAGUUUGUUGUCCCACAUUGAUGAAGUGCAUAUGUAAUACCAAUUGUAACUCUUAUAUAUACUCCACUUUGGAGAUUAAUGUGUGUGUGUGUGUGUGUGUGUGUGUGUGUGUGUGUGUGUAUAAGAAAUUCCCAAAUAUUGUCAUAUAUAUUUUUGGUAUUUACCAUGUUUAGUUUGAUAGUAAUGAAAUUAGUUAGUGAGCGGCUGAGUUGUUAGAUGAUUUGUUUGAGAGAGAGCUUAGUUUGUUAAGGAUGAUAUCUCAUUUGAGUGGUCAUUGUUGUAAUUAAAAGGAUGAUCUCCCAGCUAGUAAAUCUCGUGCAACCCCUUGCUUGUAGAAGCUUAACAUGUGGCUUGUUUAUAUUUCAGGCACCAAUUCUAUUCCACGGGAAUCUAAAAUGCAAAGUAUUUGUUAGUGUCAAAUAUCGGAUAGAGCCCAACUUAGGUCAACACAAGCGUUACUUUCAUUCUCAGAGUCAUGGAAUGCCUCGAGAGAAAGUAUUGAGAAUAGGCGUGCCACAAUUGUAGGUUGAUAAUAGAUAGUGAUUGCAUAGUGAUUUGUAGGUUUUUGGUUAGCUCUGACUUCUAAACCAAAAUGAUUAUGCACCGAAUGAGAUAUUGAUUCGGUUAGGUUCUUUUGAAUGCAUAUGAGACCGAGGACUUGAAAACCAGUGUGUUAUAUAUGUUUUGCCUAAGAAUGUAAGUAGAAUAGAAGUGAAGAGAAGGAGUGGGUUAGGAUGCAUGAUCCUGAUGUUAGAGUUAUGUCCUAAAAGCUAAUUAUGUAAUAUUGGUUAUUAUGUAACAACUCAAUUUUAAUUAUAAUUAAUAAAAGGACAAGUUUUAUUCAUUCAUGAGUUUGGCUUUGGCUUUAUAUUAUAGAGAUAAUAUAAAGCCAAUUAGGUAAUAUUAGAUAUCAUGUAACAACUCUAUUUUAGUUAAUUAAUAAAAGGACAAGUUUUAUUCAUUCAUGAGUUUAGUUUUAUCUUAUGUUGGGAAGGAGCAAUCCAAGCUGAAGUGAGCUCGCCUAAGCUAGGCUUCCUUGUUGGUGGGCCGGUGUCGCACGCUUUUGGUGAAAUAAAAAUUAGAUACCCUACUAUAACAAGCCUAAUUUUUAUUUAUGGUCGAAAUAAUUAUAUGUCAAGGUCGUCAACAAUAGCAGAGUAUAAGGCUUUGGACAUAACAACUGCAUGAAUGGCAUGGAUAAGGCAGCUAAUGUUCAUGUUCCAUUGUGACACACCCUGAUCCUAGAAUCAAGGCGUGCUGGCCAUCACGUGAGUGUGACGUAACCAAAAGUGCAGUGCGGAAGCAAGGGAUAUGAGAGAUAUGAAGGAAUAAAAACCAACUACUAGUAGUAAUAUCCAACUAGCAUGCUAGAGUGAAUAUAAGUGUGCAGUACACCAGUUCAGAGCAUAAAGAAAACUAGGUGCAGUCAAGUAAGACUAUAAUUAAAGUACAACACCCGCAGGUGAGUCCUACAUGCAGGAAGUCUGUCAGAACGCCGAAGAAAAACCUCGUGAGUCGCCAACUGCUAACUAGAACCUGGAGGGGCGCAAAAACAAAAUUGAGUGGGUUAGUAAAACCAAAGUUUCCAAAACAUUUCAUUAAAAACAUUUCUAACCCCUCACUGUAAAACCUGUAUACUUUCCCAGAGAAUAACGUAAUAGCAUAUAAAACCUCAUACGUCACAAGUCACCAUUCUAUCACAAAUCCAGGAAUAUGCCAUGCCAUAAAUGUCAAUAACAAAACAUAGAUGCAUCAAAAUAACAGGUGACAUGAUGAAUUAACCGGAGACCCUGCAGUUGGUCCUGUACGGUUAAUUCCAUAGUUCAAUAUCCAACCCAGCCGGAGUCACCAUGAUGACCUGUACGACACUACUCUGCACAUAAAUCGGAACUACCUGAAGUAGUCUGUACGACAAGAAUGGUGUAAUGAUACGCUCUAGUGCUUCUCUCAUCAAUCAUUUGCGCGCGUGAUCUAAGGUCACCUACUAGUCGGAACCACCUCUAGUGGUAUGUUCGACUAGCAUGUCAGAGUUCCAUCUUUCUUUCUCAUAAAUAAUACCGGAGCUCCCCAAGGUGACGUACUAGGUUGAAUGAAACCUUUAUCAAGUAAUUCUUGUAACUGAAUUUUCAACUCUCUCAGUUCAGCUGGAGCCAUUCUGUAUGGAGUUAAAGAUAUAGGAUCUGUACCAGGAAGCAAAUCAAUAGAAAAUUCCACAUCUCUGUCUGGCGGCAAUCCCGGCAAUUCAUUUGGAAAUACAUCAUGAUAGUGCCUGACUACUCCAACUUCCUCUACACUGCUAGGAACAACAUCAUUUAAUACCACAUGGGCUAAGUAUCCUUGACAACCCUUCGAUAAUAACUUCUUUGCUCUCAUGGCAAAAAUAACUCCAUGUCUCACCCCGCUUCUUUCACCCACAAAAGUAACCUCUGGUAAUCCAGGACGAUAAAAGGUAACAGAUUUCCCGUAACAAUCAAUAUGGGCACGAUUAUAAUGCAACCAAUAUGCUCCUAGAAUCACAUCAAAAUCCACAAUAUCUAACGGGAUAAGAUUGGCUGGCAUAACUACACCCUCUACCAUCACUGGACAUCCAAGAUAAACACUAUCAACAUAACAUUUAUCCCCUCUAGGCAUGGCAAACUCUAAAUCAAAUCCUAGAGGCGAAGGGUGAGGUUGAGUCAUUUGAGCAAACGUAUGAGAAAUCACAGAAUGUGUACCACAAUCAAUCAAAACUCUAGCAAAAUGACCAAGAAUAUUUAACGUACCCAUGAUCAAAUCUGGAUGGUUCUGAUCAUCUUGCAGUGAUAUGUGAUUAACACGUCCCUGAGCUUGCUGUCGUCCACCACGACCUCUGUUGCCUUGGUUACCUCGCCCCUGUGAAGUACGUCCCUGCCAUGACUGAUUAGACUGCCUCGAUGAUCCUGCACCACUAGCAGCAACCUCUCCCUGACAGGGUUGACCUCCCUGAUGCCACUGAGAUCCACUGGCAGACAUGGAAGAAUAAGAAGGAUAACCCACAGGGUCUUAGGAAUACCAGUCUGAGAAUAAGGAUCCUGGGAAUACUGAUACUGUCCGGAAGCAUAGGGAGCAGCAUCACCCUGAUAGUGGUAAGCACCACCACGACCCGUCUGACCAUAAUUGCCUGAUCCAAAGUUCUGCUAAAUCGGCGCUAGAGGUGGCAUACCAGACUGCUGAGAUUUCUGCUGACUCUGGGGACACUGAGUAGCCCUAUGUCCCAUUUGUCCACAAAUGUAGCAAGCACCACCACUACCGCUUCUCCUACACUCUCCAUGAUGUCUGAAGUUACAACGGCGGCACAACGGAGCACCAGAACCACCAGCACCACCAAAAUCUCUCUGUCUCUGAAAUCUAGGCCCGCCAGCAAAUCUUCCACCUCUCAUCGGGCCAGUGACACUAAAUCCUCCACUGGAAGAACUCGAACUUGCUCCACUUUUCUUGAAAUUCUGCGUCUUACGGGGUCCCUAAGUGGAGAUACCUUUGCCCUUAUCAUCCUUCUUCUGACUAUCAUUCUUGUCCUCAUCAUCCUCACUGUCACUAGGAAGAUUAUCGGAAUCCUCCAUCCGAACCAAAAUCUCGAAAAACUCAUGAUAAUCGUUGCAAGGAAGCGCACUAGCAAAAGUUCGCCAUUUCCUCUUAGUUCCCAGCUUAAAACGACGAAGCAUCUAUACUUGAUUACCAGCUAUAUCAGGAUCAUAACGAGACAAGUCUGUAAACUUUCUGUAAUACUCAUGUGCUGACAUAUUCUUUUGCUUCAAUCGAGUGAACUCAUGCUUCUUGCGAUCAAUGUACUCCGGAGAGAUAAAUCUUUUCUUAAAAUGUUCCUUGAAUACUUCCCAAUCAGCUGCCAUCUCAGGGGACAUAAACUGAGUUUGAUUUUUCCACCAACCUGCAGGCUCUCAUCCCAAAAACCAAGUAGUGGUCUCAACCCAUCUAUUAGCAGGAAAAUUUCCUUGACUCUGCAUCACUUGAAAAGUCAUCUCAAUAUGGUCUAGCCACUUCUCUGCCCCUUCAUGACCUUCAUUACCCAUGAAACGAUCCAAUUUUAGAUUAUACAUAGUCUCCAGGGGUGUCCUCUGAGAAGGAGGAGGAGGGCGGAUUGCAUUCUGAAAGGCCUGGGCCAUCACUUCCCCUAACUGAGUUAUAUCAGGGAAAUUAGGUUCAGAAGCACGGCGUGACUCCCUACGAGGCGGCAUAAUUCUGACAGAAAACAUCAAAAGAUCAUUAGAGCAUUAACAAUUAUACAGGACUGCAACCUAGGCUCUGAUACCAAACUGACACACCCCGAUCCUAGAAUCAAGGCGUGUUGGCUAUCACGUGAGUGUGACGUAACCAAAAGUGCGGUGCGGAAGCAAGGGAUAUGAGAGAUACGAAGGAAUAAAAACCAACUACUAGUAGUAAUAUCCAACUAGCAUGCUAGAGUGAAUAUAAGUGUGCAGUACACCAGUUCAGAGCAUAAAGAAAACUAGGUGCAGUCAAGUAGGACUAUAAUUAAAGUACAACACCCGCAGGUGAGUCCUACAUGCAGGAAGUCUGUCAGAACGCCGAAGAAAAACCUCGUGAGUCGCCAACUGCUAACUAGAACCUGGAGAGGCGCAAAAACAAAAUUGAGUGGGUUAGUAAAACCAAAGUUUCCAAAACAUUUCAUUAAAAACAUUUCUAACCCCUCACUGUAAAACCUGUAUACUUUCCCAGAGAAUAACGUAAUAGCAUAUAAAACCUCAUACGUCACAAGUCACCAUUCUAUCACAAAUCCAGGAAUAUGCCAUGCCAUAAAUGUCAAUAACAAAACAUAGAUGCAUCAAAAUAACAUGUGACAUGAUGAAUUAACCGGAGACCCUGCAGUUGGUCCUGUACGGUUAAUUCCAUAGUUCAAUAUUCAACCCAGCCGGAGUCACCACGGUGACUUGUACGGCACUACUCUGCACAUAAGUCGGAACUACCUGAAGUAAUCUGUACGACAAGAAUGGUGUAAUGAUACGCUCUAGUGCUUCUCUCAUCAAUCAUCUGCGCGCGUGAUCUAAGGUCACCUACUAGUCCGAACCACCUCUAGUGGUCUGUUCGACUAGCAUGUCGGAACCCUCUCAUGGUCUGUACAACAUGCACCUACUUGGAUCCAAGGUGAGCGUGCGGUGCGGUGAAUAAUAUAAGCAUUAACACCAGGGGUGCAGGUUAUGAGCUCUCAACACAAUUCGCAUUAUCAAUGAUUCACAUAAGUAACAUAAAAUUCACCUGAUACUCACCUGUGCGUCCGCAGCACCAAUUCACAUAUAUAUAUACAUUCAUAUCCAUUCAUAUAAUUCAUAAUAUGCAUGCAUGGCAAUUGAAAACAUACUUUCAUAUAAAUUCAAUUUCUGGGAAAAUUAAUAGUAUAAAGGUAUAUACUGAAAACAAAACUGCCCACUCACUGGUAAGUCGAUGGGUCGUAACCCCCGUGACGUCCCUGGAUGCGCUCGUCCUCGGGAUAGGUGUCACCUAUAUGCGAAACAACUAUAAAAACGUUAAUUAAUGCACAUAACCAACAAUUCGAAAUAACUUCUUAUACGGUGCUCAAUUUGGGUAUAUGAAUAUACCACAUCGACCUACUCGACGUCACGGACGUCGAGAAAUUUUUAAAAAAAUUUUUUGAAGCGGCACGUGCCCCCACGCGCGUCUUCUUCCUCGAGCUCGCCAGACUGGUUUUUCUGGUGGCCGGAAUCUGGGAAAUUUUCAAACGCUUUGUUCUCCUUCGUUUCUCAACCAUUUUCUUCGUAUUUUAUAUCAAUUUGAAGCCUCAACAUGUAGAAUCACGAUAGACUAGUUUCAAGAUCUAAAAUCCACUAGAUUUUACCUGAGGAAGCUCGAUAAUCCGGCCAAAUUUGAAAAGCUCCGUUCUCAGUCCUCCGACGUCCAAAUUCUACCAACGAAGUACCCCGAAGCUCGUGAGGAUCUCCUUAAGCUCACUGUGAGCUUGAAAUUCCCUGAAAUGCAAGAUUUUACGUGUGCAUGAACAGUGCACAUUUUCGGGGUUAGGGUUUCACAACGAUUCUGAGGAUUUCUGAGGUUUUAAAAUCAAAUAUCACAUAUACGAACUCACAAGCUUACUAGGAGUUCAAAUCUUACCUUAGAACCUUCGAUCCGUGAAGAAAUGGGAGGUUCCUAGCUUGUCUGUACGUACACAGUGCACGUGAAGCAGAAAAAUCGAGAAGAGAGAAAGAGACACGGGGAAAGGAGAAAGAAGGAUGGACUGUGUGUGUGUGUGGUCCAACAUACCCCAUCACCAUCCAUUUUCUUUUUUUUUUCCUAACUCCCUAACCACACAAAACAUACAACCCAAUUUAAUCUACUUAAAUAUUUUUCCUAAAGUUUAGGAAUGAAUUUAGUCCAAUAAUAUGCCACACACACAUACCUUAAUAUCCGUCAAGGGUAAUUCCGUCAUUUCACGUCCCCGAUAUAUAAAAUCCCGGAACGGGCUGUGACACAUUGGAUGCUCCUCCCAUGAUUUACAGUGGCAACAUGUCUGCCAUAGCCAUUACAUAGCAAAACACAUUGAGAUAAACUUGUUGUGAAGGAUAAGGUCAUAAAAAAUGAUUUGCGAAAGUGCUAUUCAGAAACUCAUUUUUAUCUCCCACACCUUUGUUAAUCUUUGGCUAUUGAUCUUCUUCAACUCAUUUGAUCCGACAGCUGAAAACUGAGAGGAGUAUGAGAAGUAAAAAUGGGUGUGUGAAUAACACUACCUAUGAUUAUUGGUGCAACAUUGCAAUAAUCUCAUGGUUCACACAAGCAUGAUUGAGGGGGGACGUAGAGUAUAGAGCUCCGAAGCUUUAAGUUGUUGUAAAUCAGUUAGUGAUCAGUAAUUUGUUAAAGUGAGAGAGAGCUUAGUUUGUUAAGUUUGUUAGUAAGCAAAGAGAUGUAAGGCACGUAAUCUUGCAGAAUGCAAUCAACAGUUUCCCUUUUCUCUGCAGGUCACAUCUCUAAUUUCAUGCAGAAUUAAUAUGUUGCUUCAAAAGAUUUUAUUAUUGAGACUUCAAAGGCACAUGUCCCUGCCGCUUCCCUCACCUAAUUAGUCGAUCCGUUAAUGGCCGGUCACUUUUGAAUUAGACGUUUCGACGUGAACAGAUUUCAAUUCAUCUCAUUUAGCAAUUUCUUUUAGUUGAAUAGAUAAAGUAAGAAUAAAAAUCAAGAAAUUGCAGUCUUUAAUUAAUUUUCAUUUUUUUAUAUCUGCAUCUACCAAAUUAAUGGACGAUUGGAUGUCAAAAAUCAACCGAAUUGUGCCUCAAGUUGAUAACAACGGGAGCUUCAAUGUGAUUAGUAAUCUUGACUCUUAAGGGUGUCGUACAUUAAUCAAGUAUAAAUUUGCAUUUGUGGUUAACUUCAAGAAAACAAGAAAUGUUCGUAUUUUUAUUUCUAUAUAUAUAUAUAUACUAAUGACUCGUUUAUUAAUCUAUAAUCAGAUUGAGAAAAAAUUAAUUGAAGAGGAAACAAAAUUAUAUUCUAGUUAAAAUUGUUUAUUAAACUUGGCAGAGGUAGACUCGUCAUUUGGCUCACCUGCAAAAAUGAAUUUUUUUUAAAGGGCUUUUCCCACACUCGCUAAGCCGGAAAAUUUUCAAGUUUGAUCCUUUGCCAUGGAUGGAAAAAGAAAUCCUGAUAUAGAUAGUGUUUAGUGAGUGAUAGCUGUUGUCGUUGAAGGAUUUCUCUUUGAAUCCGAUUUGUCACUGGUGAAGAAUCUUUGAUAGUGGCAUCCCAAUAAGCAUCCGAUGAGGUGGGGUAGCCCUGGUCAGUUGUAUUGAAGAUAGCAUUUCACCAGCUUACAUUGGAACUCUAGAUUUGGAGUAGAAAUGAUUUUGGUUCCAUAUUAGUUGUUUAUUAGUUCACUUGAAUCAGAAUUAAAACAAACUUGAUUACUAAACUGUCCUUGUUUAAAAUAAAUUAUUUUUCAUGCUAAUUAAUGAAAUUUAAUUUAACAUAAUAAAUUAUAUCUAUAUAAAAAUGGUCAUUUUGGUUCUAGUCCUAAUCAACCUAGUUGUUAGAAUGAAAUCUUAUUUGUUUAAAUAGUUUGAUCAAGGUCCCUAGUAUCAUUUAAGAGAUUUAACUGAUACAUUUAUGCAUUCAAUAUCCCACAAAUUAUAAAAUUUAAACAAAUCCAAAUAUUAUUGUAACAAAUAUAACAGUUACUUAAAAAUCAAUAAUAGAGUAAUUUGUUUUUCACAUAGUUCUAGCAAAAGAAUGUACCCAUGUAAUUUUCACAUCCUAGCUCGACUUCGCCGUAGCAUGAUAUUGUCCGCUCUGGGCUUACCAUUCCCUCACGGAUUUGUUCUUGAGUUUCGGCACGAGAACUUCCAAGGGGGUCACCCAUCCUAGGACUGCUUUCGCCCAAACUCGCUUAACUUCAGAGUUCUUAUGGGAUCCGGAGCCAAUGAGCUCCCAAAAGACAUCGUGCUAUAAGGAGGGGCGCAUGUACAUAUAAGGCAUAUCACCCCCUCUCUGUUGGUCGAUGUGGGAUCUUACAAUCCACCCCACUUAAGGGGAACCCAGCGUCCUCACUGACACAUCCGUAUCGAACAGCAGUGUGGCUCUGAUACCAAUUGUCACAUCUCAGCUCGACUCCGCCGUAGCACGAUUUUGUCCGCUUUAGGCUUACCAUUCCCUCACGGAUUUGUUCUUGGGUUUCAGCACGAGAACUUCCCAAGGGGGUCACCCAUAGGACCGCUCUCGUCCAAACUCACUUAACUUCGGAGUUCUUAUGGGAUCCAAAGCCAGUGAGUUCCCAAAAAGCCUCGUGCUAUAGGGAGGGGAGCAUGUGCAUAUAAGGCACAUCACAUCACCUCUCUCCGUUGGUCGAUGUGGGAUUUUACAAUCCACCCCACUUAAAGGGAACCUAGCAUCCUCGCCGGCACAUCCGCACUGAAUGGCAGAGUGGCUCUGAUACCAUAUUGUCAUAUCCUAGCUCGACUUCGUCGUAGCACGAUAUUGUCCGUUCUAGGCUUACCAUUCCCUCACAGUUUUGUUUUUGAGUUUCGGCACGAGAAGUUCCGAGGUAAAAUUUUGGAAUAUGACGCCAAAGGUAUACGUCCUCGAAACGUACAAUACUACUAACCAACUCUACGACACAAACUAAAAGGUCUCAUGCUAUAGGGAGGGGAGUAUGUACAUAUAAGGCACAUCACCCCAUCUCCGUUUGUCGAUGUGAGAUCUUACAUAAUUAUUAAUAUAGUGCAAGAAAUAACUAUUGAUAUAUUUUAAAACAUAAAAUAAACACAUAUAAUGAGCAUGGGUACGAUCAUAAAAAAAUAUUGGUACAAAUUCAAUUAAAAAUAUGGGUACAUAUUAAAAUUCAAAACUAUUAUGACAACCCACCCCUAAUUUUACGAUUAUUAAUUUUAAAAGAGUGAUUUGACGAAAAUGCCAUAGAGGUGAGAUUAUUGACUUUCGUUGACCAUCUUUUUGUGAUGUGUUCGAACUUCUAUUUUAUCGUAUUCUCGAAGGACUCAACAGUAUGAACGCAUAGGCGUAUACGGAAUUGAAUUCGAAGCUACGAUGAAGAUUUUACGGAACUACGAAUCCGAAUACUUUUAUCAAAAUUACUAUCUGGUAUUUUAUUUAUUUAUUCAAAAGUUUAUAUUAUUAUAUUCUUAUUUUAAUAUUUUAUAAAGGAUAUUUUAUUAUUUAAUUAUCUUAUUGGUCAUGGGACCCACACAUCUCAAACCCUUCACUUCUUUCAUACCCUGUGUCCCUCUUCCCUCUCUUUCUCUUUCUCGCAUGUUUCCCUCUCUGUUACUCCCUUUCCUUCUCCUAGAAAUCACACGCUGCCACCAACUCAGUUUCCAUUCCGGUGAGAUCCUUUGUCACGGAGCUACAACCGCCGACAGCCACGACUUGUCACUAAUCUCAAACUUUCUAAAACUCUCUAAUCUUAAACUCUCUCUGCACUCCCUUGUGCACAGUAACGCCGAACCACCUAACCUCUCGAACUUCGGCGAGUUCUCGCAAUUCCCAGUGAAGGUGAGCCUCAAAAAUCCCCAAAACUUCUUAAAUCUCGUUUUGGUUUAAGAUUGGGGAAAUUUGAGGUGUUUUAUCAACAUUUUGAUGCAGAAAUGGCACGAGGGAUUUUUCCUCAGUUUCCAGCAAGAGAUCCGACAACUUCAAGUUGUUUUCCGGCCAGCUUCGGGCACGGUCGAGGAAUCCAAUGGUAUAUUUCGAUUCCUUGUUCUCCGAGCUUCAAUUUGAUAUAUAGGAAGACUUGGUUUAGUUAAGUAUUUGGGUUGGUCGGAGUCUCAGCCGUCUUUUUCCAA
Molecule: long non-coding RNA, 17095 nt
Filed under: Malus domestica (apple)
Lineage: Eukaryota; Viridiplantae; Streptophyta; Magnoliopsida; Rosales; Rosaceae
Description: long non-coding RNA (MDOM_LNC011550)
Source: RNAcentral